This 406-nucleotide ribosomal RNA is filed under the name uncultured bacterium. RNAcentral describes it as "partial 16S ribosomal RNA". It matches the Rfam family "Bacterial small subunit ribosomal RNA", at positions 30 to 526 of the family's 1533-position model. The record is from RNAcentral.
AUUGAACGCUGGCGGCAGGCCUAACACAUGCAAGUCGAACGAGUGGCGGACGUGUGAGUAAUGUCUGGGAAACUGCCCGGUGGAGGGGGAUAACUACUGGACACGGUCGCUAAUACCGCAUACCAUCGGAUGUGCCCAGAGGGGAUUAGCUAGUAGGUGGGGUAACGGCUCACCUAGGCGACGAGCCCUAGCUGGUCUGCGAGGAUGACCAGCCACACUGGAACUGAGACACGGUCCAGACUCCUACGGGAGGCAGCAGUGGGGAAUAUUGCACAAUGGGCGCAAGCCUGAUGCAGCCAUGCCGCGUGUAUGAAGAAGGCCUUCGGGUUGUAAAGUACUUUCAGCGGGGAGGCGUUACCCGCAGAAGAAGCACCGGCUAACUCCGUGCCAGCAGCCGCGGUAAUUC